Molecule: ribosomal RNA, 235 nt
Filed under: uncultured bacterium
Lineage: Bacteria
Description: partial 16S ribosomal RNA
Rfam family: Bacterial small subunit ribosomal RNA
Source: RNAcentral
UGAGCAAUCUGCCCUUCUCAUCGGAAUAAGCGUUGGAAACGACGUCUAAUGCCGAAUACGACCUCCUUUCGCAUGAUCGGAGGUGGAAAGCUCCGGCGGAGAAGGAUGAGCUCGCGGCCUAUCAGCUAGUUGGUGUGGGUAAUGGCCCACCAAGGCGACGACGGGUAGCCGGCCUGAGAGGGUGACCGGCCACACUGGGACUGAGACACGGCCCAGACCUCCUACGGGGAGCCAG